Molecule: ribosomal RNA, 253 nt
Filed under: uncultured bacterium
Lineage: Bacteria
Description: partial 16S ribosomal RNA
Rfam family: Bacterial small subunit ribosomal RNA
Source: RNAcentral
UACGUAGGGUGCGAGCGUUAAUCGGAAUUACUGGGCGUAAAGCGUGCGCAGGCGGUCUUGCAAGACAGGUGUGAAAUCCCCGGGCUUAACCUGGGAACUGCACUUGUGACUGCAAGGCUGGAGUGCGGCAGAGGGGGAUGGAAUUCCGCGUGUAGCAGUGAAAUGCGUAGAGAUGUGGAGGAACACCGAUGGCGAAGGCAGCCCCCUGGGCUGAGAUUGACGCUCAGGCACGAAAGCGUGGGGAGCAAACAGG